AGAGUUUGAUCCUGGCUCAGAACGAACGCUGGCGGCGUGCCUAACACAUGCAAGUCGAACGGAGAUAAGGGGCUUGCUCCUUAUUUUAGUGGCGCACGGGUGAGUAACGCGUGGAUAAUCUACCUUGGAAUCUGGGAUAACAUCUCGAAAGGGGUGCUAAUACCGGAUAAGACCACGAGCUCUUCGGAGUUUGCGGUAAAAGGGGGCCUCUGUAUAUGCUUCUGUUUCAAGAUGAGUCCGCGUACCAUUAGCUAGUUGGCAGGGUAAUGGCCUACCAAGGCGACGAUGGUUAGCUGGUCUGAGAGGAUGAUCAGCCACACUGGAACUGAGACACGGUCCAGACUCCUACGGGAGGCAGCAGUGGGGAAUUUUGCGCAAUGGGGGAAACCCUGACGCAGCAACGCCGCGUGAGUGAUGAAGGCCUUCGGGUCGUAAAGCUCUGUCAGAGGGAAAGAAGUGUGGGAGGGUUAAUACCCCUUUCACUUGACGGUACCCUCAAAGGAAGCACCGGCUAACUCCGUGCCAGCAGCCGCGGUAAUA
This 540-nucleotide ribosomal RNA is filed under the name uncultured bacterium. Its description in RNAcentral is "bacterial SSU rRNA". It matches the Rfam family "Bacterial small subunit ribosomal RNA", at positions 8 to 525 of the family's 1533-position model. The record is from RNAcentral.